Non-coding RNA from Ictidomys tridecemlineatus (thirteen-lined ground squirrel), 72 nucleotides. The record is from Rfam. Lineage: Eukaryota; Metazoa; Chordata; Mammalia; Rodentia; Sciuridae.
UGGGUUGCAGCUCAGUGGUAGAGCACUUACCUAGCAUGUGGAUAGCACUGGGUUCAAUUCUCAGCACCACAU